Sinocyclocheilus rhinocerous is the source of this 259-nucleotide long non-coding RNA. RefSeq lists it as uncharacterized. The record is from RefSeq and is a predicted model, not a curated record. The transcript has 3 exons. Lineage: Eukaryota; Metazoa; Chordata; Actinopteri; Cypriniformes; Cyprinidae.
CAGGUACCAGUCUCUCUGUGAGCUGAGAUGCAGUGGAUUGAAUCAGACUGGGCACUCUGCAGUCGAUAUGUGGAGCAUACUGAUAAAAACCAAUCAGUGAGAAGUGAGGGGGCUCCGUCUCAUUUGGCUGAGGAAGUGCUUAUAAACAGUCUGUGCACAGAUGCUGUAUGCCAGUGUUGAACUUCUCAUUUCCAUGGAUCUGAAUAGAGCUGAUCUUGACUGAACAUCACUGCAGGGCACAGAUGACCACUGCGUAUCA